AGCACCAGGAUCUUUGGGUUCAGUUGAGA
Molecule: non-coding RNA, 29 nt
Filed under: Rattus norvegicus (Norway rat)
Lineage: Eukaryota; Metazoa; Chordata; Mammalia; Rodentia; Muridae
Source: RNAcentral